AGUUUCUUUCCUCCCAGGCGCUAAUGGAGGAUGGGCUGACAUUACUGGUCCCGAAGACACAUCAAGAACUCUGCCCGCAGAAAAGGAAGCUGGCAUUCUGGGUGUCUGCAGGGUCCAGCCUGAGCUUGCCUGCUGGCCUUACAUAACCUGCCAGCCUACACCGCAGACACCUGAGAGCAGCCCCAGCUCCUGUGCUCGGUGCCCAGCAUGCUCGCGGCCAGCCCAGGCUCCUGCUUUCAAGAGGGGCGUGUGCGGGCAGGCCAGGCUGUGUCUCCACUCCAGCAUGGGAACACCUGCUCUAAGAGAAGUUAGCCACCACACUGUGGGGACACUCAGUUCCCCCUGCUGUGGAGAGGCCCACGGAGGACGCACUGAGGCCUCCUGCCAAGAGCCAGCACCCCUUCGCCAGGCGUGAGUGGGCCAC
Long non-coding RNA from Manis pentadactyla (Chinese pangolin), 424 nucleotides. RefSeq lists it as uncharacterized. The record is from RefSeq and is a predicted model, not a curated record. The transcript is spliced from 3 exons. Lineage: Eukaryota; Metazoa; Chordata; Mammalia; Pholidota; Manidae.